RNAcentral lists this transfer RNA (73 nucleotides) under Enterobius vermicularis (human pinworm). It matches the Rfam family "tRNA". From Rfam's summary of the family: Transfer RNA (tRNA) molecules are approximately 80 nucleotides in length. Their secondary structure includes four short double-helical elements and three loops (D, anti-codon, and T loops). The record is from Rfam by way of RNAcentral. Lineage: Eukaryota; Metazoa; Nematoda; Chromadorea; Rhabditida; Oxyuridae.
GGUCCAAUGGUGUAGUGGUUAUCACGUCUGCUUUACACGCAGAAGGUCGGCGGUUCGAGCCCGCCUUGGAUCA